GACGAACGCUGGCGGCGUGCUUAACACAUGCAAGUCGAACGGUGAAGGGACCGGUUUUUGCUGGUUCUGGAUGAGUGGCGAACGGGUGAGUAACACGUGAGUAACCUGCCCCCUUCUUCUGGAUAACCGCAUGAAAGUGUGGCUAAUACGGGAUAUUCUGCGCCUGCUGCAUGGUGGGUGUGGGAAAGAUAUUGUUUCGGUGGGGGAUGGGCUCGCGGCCUAUCAGCUUGUUGGUGGGGUGAUGGCCUACCAAGGCGGUGACGGGUAGCCGGCCUGAGAGGGUGGACGGUCACACUGGGACUGAGACGCGGCCCAGACUCCUACGGGAGGCAGCAGUGGGGAAUAUUGCACAAGGGGCGCAAGCCUGAUGCAGCGACGCCGCGUGAGAGAUGGAGGCCUUCGGGUUGUAAACCUCUUUCGCCAGUGAAGCAGGCCUGUCCCUUUUGUGGGUGGGUUGACGGUAGCUGGAUAAGAAGCGCCGGCUAACUACGUG
Molecule: ribosomal RNA, 493 nt
Filed under: uncultured bacterium
Lineage: Bacteria
Description: partial 16S ribosomal RNA
Rfam family: Bacterial small subunit ribosomal RNA
Source: RNAcentral